This 255-nucleotide non-coding RNA is filed under the name Sporosarcina psychrophila. RNAcentral's name for it is "T-box sequence". It matches the Rfam family "T-box leader". From Rfam's summary of the family: Uncharged tRNA acts as the effector for transcription antitermination of genes in the T-box leader family. The record is from RNAcentral. Lineage: Bacteria; Bacillati; Bacillota; Bacilli; Caryophanales; Caryophanaceae.
CGAAUGGCAAUGACGGAAAAAAGUAUUUCAGUAUCAGUCUUUCAGAGAGCCUGUGGGUGGUGCAAACAGGUAGACUGAACCGAAAGAAUGGGAUCCCGAGCUUGAUAAGCGAACCUUUUGAGCUAAUUCAAAGUAUAUGGACUUUUUGAAUUAGCCCUAAAGAAGCUCGUCACGUCCCCCGCGUUAUGGGAAUCAGAGUGGCCUUCGGGCAAUUCGGGUGGUACCACGGUUGAUCAAACAUCAGUCGUCCCUUUU